Molecule: long non-coding RNA, 2666 nt
Organism: Oryctolagus cuniculus (rabbit)
Lineage: Eukaryota; Metazoa; Chordata; Mammalia; Lagomorpha; Leporidae
Source: Ensembl
AGAGAGCUGGACACGCAAUGCUGCAGGUCUCGGUGAGGCCGCACUCCUGGGCGGAGGGGCACACGUGCAGUGGAGCUGCCGAACCUGGGGGCCGGGGCUACCAGGAAGCGCAGAACCUCAGCGACCAGCCUCUGCGGGGGUCUCGGCUGAGCGGAGCCCGACCCCCUUGCUCUUCAGCCCGAGAGCCCGGCUCAGUUUCCAAAAACAGAUCGGGGGCGCCGCCUGGUGGUCAGAGCCCGGCCGCAGCCACCUGGGCCCUGGUCUGCGUCCACAGGUCCAGGCUCCGCAGGUCCCCGCGGCUCUGGUGGACGUCUGUGGCCCCCCCGCUAAUGCAGGCCUCUUGAGAAAAGGCGGGAAACCCAGGGGCGCCUAGCGCAUCCCGGGGGUCUGGGGUCUCACCCAGAGCCGGCCUUUCUUCUGUGCUCAGCGGGCUGUUUCUAGACUUGUCUCCAGGCCUCCAGAUGCUUUCUCCCUCAAAGUCAAUCACACACCCACCACGCACACACGCACGCACACGCACACCACACACGCACACCCACACACGCACACACACCACACACAUGCACACGCACACACACAUGCACACACGCACACACAUGCACACGCACACACAUGCACACGCACACACACGCACACACACGCACACACACAUGCACACAUGCACACACACGCACACGCACACAUGCACACAUGCACACACACGCACACGCACACACACGCACACACGCGCACACCACACACGCACACCCACACACGCACACAGACACACACGCACACACACGCACACACACACGCACACGCACACACACGCACACACGCACACGCACACACACCACACACAUGCACACGCACACAUGCACACAUAACACACACGCACACACACCACACACAUGCACAUGCACACACACACGCACACGUACACACAUACACACUCGCACACCACACACGCACACCCACACACGCACACACGCACACAGACACACACGCACACACCACACACGCACACACGCACACGUGCACACACACGCACACACACACGCACGCACGCACACGCACACAUGCACACACGCACACACACAACACUCAUGCACACACCACACACGCACACGCGCGCACAUGCGCACACACACCCACCACACAUGCACACGCACGCAUGCACACACACACGCACACAUACACGCGCACACAUGCACACGCACGCACGCACGCAUACCCACCACACACACGCACACACACGCACACGCACACGCACACCCAAGUCUGCAAGCUGCCGGGUGGCUCCCAUGUACCACUGGCCUGACUGGCGGCUGGCUGGCGGCUGGCUGGCGGUGGCGACGAGACAGAGGUGGAUGCUCUUGGGGGGCUGGGGGGGGUCCGGCCACUGCCCCCCCAGGAGGGGAAGUUGGGGAGCAAAGUGAAUCUUCCGAGUCUUGUGCUUGGUUUGGUCUGGUUUUUGCUCCCUUGGGAAGACUGAGCCGGCACCGUGCUGGAAGGCCACAGGGACAAAGCCACUUUGGAGACCCGAGCCCUCCUGGGUCUGGGGUAUUGCGGCAGGCUCCUCUCAGCGAGGGAGGGUCCUGGCUGCGGGUGGACACACGGCUGUCUCGGGGCGGGCAGCAGCGUGCUCCGGGCAGUGGGGAGCCUGCUCUCGCUCCCUCGUCUGAGACUGGGGAAAACCCACCCUCUCGGGCUUGCCGUGGGAGCUCAUCCGGUGACCCCCGCAGAGUGUCGGCGCAGGGUGGGCGUGCGGUCAGCCCAGGGCAGGAUCAGUCUCUGCGGUCAUUCAGGGCCCGGCCCGGCACCGGUGACCCCCGCAGUGUCGGUGCAGGGUGGGCGUGCGGUCAGCCCAGGGCAGGAUCAGUCUCUGCGGUCAUUCAGGGCCCGGCCCGGCACCGGGACCAGAGCACGCCGCACGCCCAGGCUUGCUGCCCCCGCAGGAGGAAGGGGUCUGCACACGUCUGCUGGGGGCUGUGGAGGGGCCGCCGGAGCCAACGCCAAAGACAUCAGCUGCCUGCUGUCCACGCGGCCACGGCUGUGCCAGGAGCCAGCACACCCACCAACGUCCAGCGAGUCCACUGCACGCCAGGCCCCGCCCUGGCCAUCUCCGAGCAGAGAGAGGCCUGGCUGGAAGAUGGGGGUGUCUGAGAUGCAGCCAGCUGGGGGGGGCAUCCACAGCCCCGUGCAGCCGCCUCACCACGCCCCAACCUCUCCCAGCCAGCCAGUGUGGGUGGGUGAGCCCAUCCUACACCAAGAAUAAGGCGCAGAGAACGGCGGGGACCAGGUGGUAGGUGUGGUGGCUCCUGGCACGGCCAUGGCCGCGUGGGCAGCAGGCAGCGGAUGUCUUUGUCCAAGUGUGUCCCAGGGUGCAGCCCAGCAGGCGAGUGGCUGGCGGUGUGCUCUCGGGCACGCAGCUCGCACCUGUCCGUGCUCCCCUUUCUGCAUGUGACACGGAGCUCCGCAGAGCGGGUGGGGUCCGGUGAGGGAGGGGCUGAAGACAGGGGCAGGUCAGCUCGCAGUUGAGGCCUGGGGCUCUUAGCAACAGCAGGCAGGGGCCCCGCGGCGGGGCAGUGCAAGAGCUUAGCCCGAGCUCUGUGCACGGGUUUCAGGCCUGUUCAGAGCCCAGAGCCGCGCUGGGAAGGAACAGGAAGGGUCCCCAGGCCCGCCAG